UGGGGAAUUUUGGACAAUGGGCGAAAGCCUGAUCCAGCAAUGCCGCGUGUGUGAAGAAGGCCUUCGGGUUGUAAAGCACUUUUGUCCGGAAAGAAAUCCUUGGCUCUAAUACAGUCGGGGGAUGACGGUACCGGAAGAAUAAGCACCGGCUAACUACGUGCCAGCAGCCGCGGUAAUACGUAGGGUGCAAGCGUUAAUCGGAAUUACUGGGCGUAAAGCGUGCGCAGGCGGUUUGCUAAGACCGAUGUGAAAUCCCCGGGCUCAACCUGGGAACUGCAUUGGUGACUGGCAGGCUAGAGUAUGGCAGAGGGGGGUAGAAUUCCACGUGUAGCAGUGAAAUGCGUAGAGAUGUGGAGGAAUACCGAUGGCGAAGGCAGCCCCC
Molecule: ribosomal RNA, 382 nt
Filed under: uncultured bacterium
Lineage: Bacteria
Description: partial 16S ribosomal RNA
Rfam family: Bacterial small subunit ribosomal RNA
Source: RNAcentral